Molecule: ribosomal RNA, 428 nt
Filed under: Chloroflexota bacterium
Lineage: Bacteria; Bacillati; Chloroflexota
Description: Chloroflexi bacterium partial 16S ribosomal RNA
Rfam family: Bacterial small subunit ribosomal RNA
Source: RNAcentral
UGGGGAAUAUUGCACAAUGGGCGCAAGCCUGAUGCAGCCAUGCCGCGUGUAUGAAGAAGGCCUUCGGGUUGUAAGUACUUUCAGUCGGGAGGAAGGUGGUAAGGUUAAUAACCUUAUCAAUUGACGUUACCGACAGAAGAAGCACCGGCUAACUCCGUGCCAGCAGCCGCGGUAAUACGGAGGGUGCAAGCGUUAAUCGGAAUUACUGGGCGUAAAGCGCACGCAGGCGGUUGAUUGAGUCAGAUGUGAAAUCCCCGGGCUUAACCCGGGAAUUGCAUCUGAUACUGGUCAGCUAGAGUCUUGUAGAGGGGGGUAGAAUUCCAUGUGUAGCGAUGAAAUGCGUAGAGAUGUGGAGGUAUACCGGUGGCGAAGGCGGCCCCCUGGACAAAGACUGACGCUCAGGUGCGAAAGCGUGGGGAGCAAACAGG